This 322-nucleotide long non-coding RNA is filed under the name Gallus gallus (chicken). The record is from RNAcentral. Lineage: Eukaryota; Metazoa; Chordata; Aves; Galliformes; Phasianidae.
CUGGCUGGCUCUUCAUGUGUCAAAAGGAGACAAUUUACUUAUUACUGGCACAGAAUCAUGAAAAUAAGGUUUACAAAAUCAUCAUUAAAAUAUAUAAAAUACUGAAAACUAAAUACAAACAAAGGUGUGGAGCGUUCUUUUCUGCAGUCCUUUUCAUUUUUUUCCAGUUCUUCUAGCUUUAUUAACUUUAAGCUUUUCUCCGUAUUUUUUAAUGAGGAGAAAACAGUGAAUACCUCAGGAUCCAUAGAGCACAGCACACAUCUCCUUGUCAACUACUAACAAGAGCUAGACUGGGUACCAAGUGGACAUAGUUCAACAUCUA